RNAcentral lists this transfer RNA (75 nucleotides) under Caudoviricetes sp. Its description in RNAcentral is "tRNA-Trp". It matches the Rfam family "tRNA". From Rfam's summary of the family: Transfer RNA (tRNA) molecules are approximately 80 nucleotides in length. Lineage: Duplodnaviria; Heunggongvirae; Uroviricota; Caudoviricetes. The record is from RNAcentral.
GCGUCGGUGGCAUGACGGGGAAGCAACGGUCUCCAAAACCGUGAUAUGGGGGUUCGAAUCCCUCACGGCGUACCA